RNAcentral lists this ribosomal RNA (253 nucleotides) under uncultured bacterium. RNAcentral's name for it is "partial 16S ribosomal RNA". It matches the Rfam family "Bacterial small subunit ribosomal RNA", at positions 524 to 776 of the family's 1533-position model. The record is from RNAcentral.
UACGUAGGGUGCGAGCGUUGUCCGGAAUUAUUGGGCGUAAAGAGCUCGUAGGCGGCCUGUCGCGUCGGUUGUGAAAGCCCGGGGCUUAACCCCGGGUCUGCAGUCGAUACGGGCAGGCUAGAGUUCGGUAGGGGAGAUCGGAAUUCCUGGUGUAGCGGUGAAAUGCGCAGAUAUCAGGAGGAACACCGGUGGCGAAGGCGGAUCUCUGGGCCUUACCUGACGCUGAGGCGCGAAAGCUAGGGGAGCGAACAGG